UGGGGAAUUUUCCGCAAUGGGCGAAAGCCUGACGGAGCAAUACCGCGUGAGGGAGGAAGGCUCUUGGGUUGUAAACCUCUUUUCUCAGGGAAGAACACAAUGACGGUACCUGAGGAAUCAGCAUCGGCUAACUCCGUGCCAGCAGCCGCGGUAAUACGGAGGAUGCAAGCGUUAUCCGGAAUGAUUGGGCGUAAAGCGUCCGCAGGUGGCGAUGUAAGUCUGCUGUUAAAGAGUGAGGCUCAACCUCAUAAGAGCAGUGGAAACUACAUAGCUAGAGUGCGUUCGGGGCAGAGGGAAUUCCUGGUGUAGCGGUGAAAUGCGUAGAUAUCAGGAAGAACACCGGUGGCGAAAGCGCUCUGCUAGGCCGCAACUGACACUGAGGGACGAAAGCUAGGGGAGC
Molecule: ribosomal RNA, 400 nt
Filed under: uncultured bacterium
Lineage: Bacteria
Description: bacterial SSU rRNA
Rfam family: Bacterial small subunit ribosomal RNA
Source: RNAcentral